Molecule: non-coding RNA, 177 nt
Filed under: Parathalassolituus penaei
Lineage: Bacteria; Pseudomonadati; Pseudomonadota; Gammaproteobacteria; Oceanospirillales; Oceanospirillaceae
Description: 6S / SsrS RNA
Rfam family: 6S / SsrS RNA
About the family: E. coli 6S RNA was the first non coding RNA to be sequenced, but its function was unknown until recently. It consists of 184 nucleotides that fold into an extended hairpin structure with a large single-stranded internal bulge.
Source: Rfam by way of RNAcentral
CACUCCCUGCUGCAUUUGCCAGUCGAUAAAGACCUCGAGCCGAUGUUAUAUACCCAGGAGGGUUCCUACGUUGUUGUGCGCAUGUCCACUUCCGGAAAGCCUUAUACCGCGUAUAGCCCGCCACCUUGAACCAUUGGGUUCAAGGGCUUUCUCCGAUAGCGGUGCAGCGGGGCUCCG